RNAcentral lists this unclassified non-coding RNA (250 nucleotides) under plant metagenome. RNAcentral's name for it is "partial contains small subunit ribosomal RNA and internal transcribed spacer 1". The stretch from base 1 to 46 matches the Rfam family "Eukaryotic small subunit ribosomal RNA", at positions 1786 to 1831 of the family's 1831-position model. The record is from RNAcentral.
AAGUCGUAACAAGGUUUCCGUAGGUGAACCUGCGGAAGGAUCAUUACAGAGUUGUCGACACGAGUUGUUGCUGGUCCUCAAAUGGGGGCAUGUGCACGCUCUGUUCACACAUCCACUCACACCUGUGCACCCUCUGUAGUUCUAUGGUCUGGGGGACGCACCGUCUUCCUCCCGUGGUUCUAUGUCUUUACACAUACACCGUAGCGAAGUCUUAGGGAAUGUACUCUGCGUUUAACGCGAUAUAAUACAA